GGUUCUCUCAUCCAUCCUUUCACCAUAAAAAAAACCCUCAUCCUCACCAAUUCCUCUAAAUUCCUUGAUCAAAUACCACAUGCAAGAAAUUAAAGUUAGGUAAUUCAUUCUAAGAUUGAGGAGGCUGAGAUAAUGAAGAUUCAAGGAGUAUUAUGGAGAGAAGAGUGAAGAAGAAAUUAGGGCUUCAAGGAAUUUAGAAGAUCUCGGAAAGCUAGAGAUUUAAGGAGAAUCAUGAGCAAUGGAAGUAGGAGUAGCAUCAUCAAAGAAGAUUAGAGGUGGAUUUCCUCUUUUCCCUCGUUCACUCAUGCAUAAACUUAUAUUUAUAAUUUUGUGAUCAUGGGUUUAAAAUUAGAAGAGGAAAACAUUAGAUUCAUGAUGCAUGCAUAAUAGAUUUUGGAAUAAAAAUGUUUCAUGUUUAGAUUGUGUAAACUAAUUUAAUUAAUCAUAAGUGAAUGAUAAUAAUGUUUAAUUUCAUUAUUGAUUUCUG
This 487-nucleotide long non-coding RNA is filed under the name Medicago truncatula (barrel medic). RNAcentral describes it as "lncRNA gene22156". The record is from RNAcentral. Lineage: Eukaryota; Viridiplantae; Streptophyta; Magnoliopsida; Fabales; Fabaceae.